GGCGGACGGGUGAGUAACGCGUGAGAAUCUGCCCUCAGGAGGGGGACAACAGCUGGAAACGGCUGCUAAUACCCCAUAUGCCGCGAGGUGAAAUGAAUUUCGCCUGAGGAUGAGCUCGCGUCUGAUUAGCUAGUUGGUGUAGGUAAUGGCUCACCGAGGCAUCGAUCAGUAGCUGGUCUGAGAGGAUGAUCAGCCACACUGGGACUGAGACACGGCCCAGACUCCUACGGGAGGCAGCAGUGGGGAAUUUUCCGCAAUGGGCGAAAGCCUGACGGAGCAACGCCGCGUGAGGGAUGAAGGCCUCUGGGCUGUAAACCUCUUUUAUCAAGGAAGAAGAUCUGACGGUACUUGAUGAAUAAGCCACGGCUAAUUCCGUGCCAGCAGCCGCGGUAAUACGGGAGUGGCAAGCGUUAUCCGGAAUUAUUGGGCGUAAAGCGUCCGCAGGCGGUCCUUCAAGUCUGCUGUUAAAAAGUGGAGCUUAACUCCAUCAUGGCAGUGGAA
RNAcentral lists this ribosomal RNA (501 nucleotides) under uncultured bacterium. RNAcentral's name for it is "bacterial SSU rRNA". It matches the Rfam family "Bacterial small subunit ribosomal RNA", at positions 97 to 631 of the family's 1533-position model. The record is from RNAcentral.